AUUGAACGCUGGCGGCAGGCCUAACACAUGCAAGUCGGACGGUAGCACAGAGAGCUUGCUCUCGGGUGACGAGUGGCGGACGGGUGAGUAAUGUAUGGGGAUCUGCCCGAUAGAGGGGGAUAACCACUGGAAACGGUGGCUAAUACCGCAUAACGUCGCAAGACCAAAGAGGGGGACCUUCGGGCCUCUCACUAUCGGAUGAACCCAGAUGGGAUUAGCUAGUAGGCGGGGUAACGGCCCACCUAGGCGACGAUCCCUAGCUGGUCUGAUAGGAUGACCAGCCACACUGGAACUGAGACACGGUCCAGACUCCUACGGGAGGCAGCAGUGGGGAAUAUUGCACAAUGGGCGCAAGCCUGAUGCAGCCAUGCCGCGUGUAUGAAGAAGGCCUUCGGGUUGUAAAGUACUUUCAGCGGGGAGGAAGGCGAUGUGGUUAAUAACCGCAUUGAUUGACGUUACCCGCAGAAGAAGCACCGGCUAACUCCGUGCCAGCCGCCGCCGUAA
This 504-nucleotide ribosomal RNA is filed under the name uncultured bacterium. RNAcentral describes it as "partial 16S ribosomal RNA". It matches the Rfam family "Bacterial small subunit ribosomal RNA", at positions 30 to 523 of the family's 1533-position model. The record is from RNAcentral.